AACGGCCAUACCAUGCUGAAUAAACCGGUUCCCGUUAGAUCACCGGAGUCAAGCAUCAUUGGGCGCGGUCAGUACUUGGGUGGGUGACCACCUGGGAACACCGCGUGCCGUU
Molecule: ribosomal RNA, 112 nt
Filed under: Caerostris darwini
Lineage: Eukaryota; Metazoa; Arthropoda; Arachnida; Araneae; Araneidae
Source: RNAcentral